Non-coding RNA from Taeniopygia guttata (zebra finch), 2263 nucleotides. NCBI's taxonomy places the organism in Eukaryota, Metazoa, Chordata, Aves, Passeriformes, Estrildidae. The record is from RefSeq and is a predicted model, not a curated record.
UUUUUUUUUUUUUUUUUUUUAAGCUCUCUGAUUUGAAGGGCCUUCUGAAAGAGAUUUCCAGUAAAAUUAAAUGAGUGGAGCAGAAAUUCAAGAGCAGCUACUGGAGCAGGGUACCAAUUCAUGAAGAAUAAUUGCUCAGAGCUGGCAGCAACCCCCAAGCAGAUGGUAACAGAGGCAUCAGAGUAUCAAUGUCUCAGCAGGAGUCAGCAGGAUUUUCUUGCAAUUUUUAUUUUUGUUGAUCAAACAGCCCUUUCUGCUUGUUGCAAGGUUGUGGUGAAACUGGAGAUGACUGCUUAUCUCCUGACAUGAUUCCUGUGUUACCCAAACUCUUCUCAUCUGCCCUAAGGUCCAGUGGCAGCAAUUAGUCCUUGUUAAGCUGCUGUUGCAAAUCACUCCUAUUUCCAAGAGUUCUGCUGCUUUUGCCAAAAUCCCUUUGCUUUUCCAUUUCACUUGGAGGGACCUGUGCGUGGCUUUCCUUCAAGCACUAAUUGCAUGUCUGAAUGAAUCAAUCUCCCUUCCUGUUCUGCCCUGUAGUAGCUGGAUCUUGCGUGUUCCUUGCACGGGCUGUCAGACCUGCUGGGGUCUGGAAUGCUGGUGUGCCAGAAUGCAGUGGAUUUCAACAUCAUCCCCCCCAAGGAAAGCCUUUGGUCCAACCCUGCAUCCCUAUUUCAGACUGUAAAGGAACAUUGUGGGACUUGUUCCCCCUCUACCCAGAACCUUUCAGCAGUGCAGAAGCUCAGCUAUUACAGCCCUGCAUGGGAGAGACAUAAAUUUAUCUAGGAACUGUUUCUAAGACUUUGUGGGCAAUCCUUCCUUGGUUUCAGUCAUGAAAAUUUGUAUUCUGGGAAUGCUGGAAUUCAUUUGACUUUUCAAAUGUGUUUGCUGAUCUUUGCAGCUGGAAAUGGAGAAGAGAUUGUUGGAACCUUUAAAUAGAGCAGUGCUUGAUAUGGUCAGGUGGCGCUUUCUGUCUAAAAUAGCAGCUGAAUUCUGUCACUUUUUUUUUUUUUUUUUUUUGGUAUAACUGAGAGCAUAGCCAACUGAAGGCACUACAAAUAGCAUUUAUUUACAUGGCAAAGCAUUGUAUCAACCUUCCUUCCCAGUGUCUUGGAAUCAUGGAAUCACAGACUCACCAGAGGAAAGGACCUGCAAGGAUCAUGGAGGCCAACCCCUGGCCCUGCACAGACACCCCAACAAUCCUAUCCUAUGCAUCCCUGAGAGCAUUGUUCAAAUGUUCCUUGGGCUCUGUCAGCCUGGGGCUGUGCCCGUUCCCUGGGGGAGUCUGGUCAGUGCCCCAGUACCAUCUGGGAGAAGAACCUUUUCCUAAAAUUCCACCUUACCCUGCCCUGACACAGCUCCAGCCGCUCCCUCAGGUGCUGUCCCUGUCACAGAGAGCAGAGAUUGGAGCUGUCCUUUGGGAGAGAGCUGCCAGCCAUGCUGAGACCUCCUCCUCUUCUCCAAGCUGAACAAGCCAAUUGACCUCAGCUGUUCCUCAUACAGCUUCCUCUCCUGGCCCCUCAUCAUCUUCAUUCCCCUCUUUGGAUACUCUCUGCAGGCCUUAUAUCCUUAUGAUACAUUCAGAGAGGUUGCUGCUCUUUUCUCCCUGCAUUUCAUCACCCAACUGUACUGUAUGCUGUGCAUGACAUCAUCCUGGGGGCUCCAGCACUAACAAUAGCAGUGGUAUUUGUUUUCAUGUGGAAAUAUUUCCUGCUGAAAAGUAAAGGAGCCAGGCUUUCACUGAUUCACAUGGCAGUUAGCUGCAUCAUAAAUUCUUGAGAUAAGGUUCCUUUCUGGAAAUUAUUUUUCCCAUAUCAUUUGUCUGCCUUGGAUGUGAAAAUUGUGCUUUUUGUUCACUCCCUUCCUAUUUAAAACCUGUGGAAUGCUUUCAACCCUUCCGGGAAAUCCCAAGGGCCUUGCCUUGGAAGAAUAUACAAUAGUCUCCACCUAGGCUUAAAGAGAAGACUUCUGCCAUGGAGCCUUGCAACACCAGGAUCCACCCCCGUUCCUUUCCCCCUGUGUCCCAAAUUCUUGCGGUAUUUCCUUUCCCUGUUUCCUCGUUGGUCCUUGGUCGUGGUAUCCCUGGUGGCUGGCCCCGUCUUCCCUGUAGGCCAAUGCCCUUUGCCCUGCCCUUUGUGCUGCCCCCGUGCCCUCAGACCAUUGGCCACUGACCCCUGCUUAACCUUGUGCAGAGCACAUGGCCAGGUCUUUGUCCCUGAUCCCUUCAGCCUGGUGGAUGCAAUAAACCUUUGCUGGAAUACAUCAUAAA